Molecule: ribosomal RNA, 253 nt
Filed under: uncultured bacterium
Lineage: Bacteria
Description: partial 16S ribosomal RNA
Rfam family: Bacterial small subunit ribosomal RNA
Source: RNAcentral
GACAGAGGAUGCAAGCGUUAAUCGGAAUUACUGGGCGUAAAGCGUGCGUAGACGGUUAUGUAAGUCAGAUGUGAAAGCCCAGGGCUCAACCUUGGAAUUGCAUUUGAGACUGCAUAGCUAGGGUGCGGAAGAGGGAAGCGGAAUUUCCGGUGUAGCGGUGAAAUGCGUAGAUAUCUGGAGGAACACCGGUGGCGAAGGCGGCAUCCUGGACCGACACUGACGCUGAGGAGCGAAAGCCAGGGGAGCAAACGGG